This 894-nucleotide ribosomal RNA is filed under the name uncultured bacterium. RNAcentral describes it as "bacterial SSU rRNA". It matches the Rfam family "Bacterial small subunit ribosomal RNA", at positions 8 to 916 of the family's 1533-position model. The record is from RNAcentral.
AGAGUUUGAUCAUGGCUCAGGACGAACGCUGGCGGCGUGCUUAACACAUGCAAGUCGAACGAUGAAGCCCUUCGGGGUGGAUUAGUGGCGAAUGGGUGAGUAACACGUGGGCAAUCUGCCCUGCACUCUGGGACAAGCCCUGGAAACGGGGUCUAAUACCGGAUACUGAUCGCCUUGGGCAUCCUUGGUGAUCGAAAGCUCCGGCGGUGCAGGAUGAGCCCGCGGCCUAUCAGCUUGUUGGUGAGGUAAUGGCUCACCAAGGCGACGACGGGUAGCCGGCCUGAGAGGGCGACCGGCCACACUGGGACUGAGACACGGCCCAGACUCCUACGGGAGGCAGCAGUGGGGAAUAUUGCACAAUGGGCGAAAGCCUGAUGCAGCGACGCCGCGUGAGGGAUGACGGCCUUCGGGUUGUAAACCUCUUUCAGCAGGGAAGAAGCGAAAGUGACGGUACCUGCAGAAGAAGCGCCGGCUAACUACGUGCCAGCAGCCGCGGUAAUACGUAGGGCGCGAGCGUUGUCCGGAAUUAUUGGGCGUAAAGAGCUCGUAGGCGGCUUGUCGCGUCGGUUGUGAAAGCCCGGGGCUUAACCCCGGGUCUGCAGUCGAUACGGGCAGGCUAGAGUUCGGUAGGGGAGAUCGGAAUUCCUGGUGUAGCGGUGAAAUGCGCAGAUAUCAGGAGGAACACCGGUGGCGAAGGCGGAUCUCUGGGCCGAUACUGACGCUGAGGAGCGAAAGCGUGGGGAGCGAACAGGAUUAGAUACCCUGGUAGUCCACGCCGUAAACGGUGGGCACUAGGUGUGGGCGACAUUCCACGUCGUCCGUGCCGCAGCUAACGCAUUAAGUGCCCCGCCUGGGGAGUACGGCCGCAAGGCUAAAACUCAAAGGAAUUGACGG